UCUAUACAUUGUCAUCAGCACUAUCAGCAUGUUGCACUUAGAAAUAAAUAAUAUUUUAUAAUAUUCUUUGAUUACGCCGAGGAAAAAAAAUGCCACCUACCACUAUUAAAUAAAUAAAAAAAUUUAUUUACACAUAUAUACAUCUUAACAUUUAUAAAUACUCGUGUGCACAAUGGUUAUGUUAUUUCUGAUUGUCGUGUCACGAUAAGAUUAUCUCAUACGUAGCAUUCGUAUGGAAGCACGUGCGUGAUAAGGAUGCAACGUAUGCGUUAUAAAAUGUUGGUAAAGGACGACAGGAUCUGCGCGGUCCGGCAAACUGUUACGUUUGGCUAUGGGAGAAAACCGGCUUGAGAAUCAGAUAUAUAGUAAGUCAGGUAUAGUUGAGAAUGUAUUUCUAAUGAAUUCGCAAAACCUUGAAAGUUCCUCCCUCCAUUGGUAUAGUGUGUAAUAGGGAAGAGAAUUUGGUAGUCCGCGACGUCUCUGCGUGACUUCAGGUUUUUGUAAAUCCAUUAUUACUUCGAAUUCCGAGAUAGUGCUGUUUAACGUACUUGCAUUUCAAUUUUAAAUUAUUACAAUACGUACGGUUUCAAAUUGUAGGUUAUGCACGUUAACGUGUAUUCGAGUAAUUUCAUUUUAUCUAUGAGCCAUAUGUCUGGCGUAUCCGUUUAGUAAUUCUAAAAUAAUUCUCCAGGAUUCAGUGUCUGAACACUGAAUAUACGUCACAGAUGAUCCAUUUAAAUUUGUCAUUAAUGUGCAUUACCGAGAACGCGCGGAUGUCGUUUCGCUUGAUGGGAAUGUUUAACAGAAUGUAAAAGGUAUGUUCGACGGUCGAUAGAAACGAUAUUGGUCGAAGUUUCAUGGACGGAACGAAGGUCGUCCUCUCACUAUCUCACGGUUGGUUACUCGUAAGGAUCGGUACAUCCAUUCAUUUUGUCACGCACAUAGUCAUAGUCGUCCUUUAUCUCUUUGUCUCGCGUAUCAAAUCAUGUAGAGAUUGCGUUGUAUUCAAAAUCUGACAAUGGUAAGUCUUUGUUUUCUUAAUAUCAUGUUUUCGUAUAUACGCAUAUACGUAAUUUAAUCAGCAUAUUGUAUAGCUUGGAUAUUCCGUGUAUACUCCGUUGCAGGCGUUGAAUGUGGCACUGAAAAAGUGGAGGUAAUCAUCGCGUGUUACUACAUAACCUCGAAUUCUCUACACUUAACGUUUUACGUGAGAAAGCUCAGGAGAUUAAUACUUGGGAUCGAAUUUUAGACAAGUUGAAUAUUAUUUGAGUAUUGAUAUGUAAAAGUUGAAUAAAACUUUUAAAAAUA
Molecule: long non-coding RNA, 1308 nt
Organism: Cephus cinctus (wheat stem sawfly)
Lineage: Eukaryota; Metazoa; Arthropoda; Insecta; Hymenoptera; Cephidae
Exons: 2
Source: RefSeq, a predicted model, not a curated record